AUACGGAGGGUGCAAGCGUUACUCGGAAUCACUGGGCGUAAAGCGCGCGCAGGCGGCCUGAUAAGUUGGAUGUGAAAGCCUACGGCUCAACCGUAGAACUGCAUCCAAAACUGUCAGGCUAGAGUGUGGGAGAGGAAGAUGGAAUUAGUUGUGUAGGGGUAAAAUCCGUAGAGAUAACUAGGAAUACCAAAAGCGAAGGCAAUCUUCUGGAACACUUCUGACGCUGAGGCGCGAAGGCGUGGGGAGCAAACAGGAUUAGAAACCCUUGUAGUCC
RNAcentral lists this ribosomal RNA (274 nucleotides) under uncultured bacterium. Its description in RNAcentral is "partial 16S ribosomal RNA". It matches the Rfam family "Bacterial small subunit ribosomal RNA", at positions 523 to 796 of the family's 1533-position model. The record is from RNAcentral.